UAACCCACUGAAUGAGACCAGGGACUGAACCUGUGUCCUCAGGGAUACUAGUCAGAUUCACUCCCACUGAGCCAUGACAGGAACACCCUCCUAAGAAUUCUUAAGCUUUAGUUUUUUUAUACUUCUGUCAUCAUAAUAAGUACACAUUUUAUUCAUGCUUAUAUAACCCACACAUAUUUUAGCAUAUGAGAAAUUCCAAUUGUUUUAAUUAAGAAACCAAAGGAAUUCCCUCUAAUUACUUUGUUCUUAAUUCUUUAAACUGUUCUUUUGUAAAUACACUAAGUAGAAAAGACCGUAUUUGAUAGUAUUCCAAUCUACUUCAAGCUCACAUCUUCUUAGCAACAAAAAGACUAGGUAAAGUUUUCAAUGCCAGAAGACAGUUUAAUGACCAUUCAGACUCACUAGCUGUCAGACGUAAAGAAAAAACAAAAUAAUUCCUAAUGUUUUGACUUUUAGGAUAUUGCCUCUGGGAUUCAUGUAUAUACUCUCCCCUUUACCUACUCUCUUCAGCUGGCUAACUUCUGUUUAUCAUGAAGAUCUCGGCUUAGACAAAGCUUCUUGCAGGAAGUUAAGGCAACCUUCCAUUAACCCAAUAGUUCUCAGCUGGGUGCAUCUUUGCUCUUCCCCUCAGAGGACAUCUGGCAAUGCCCUCAGGCAUUUCUGGCUGUCACAUCUGGGGGGAGGUUGCUACUAGCAUUCAGUAGGUGGAAGCCAGGGAUGCUGCUAAACAUCGUAUAAUGUGCAGGAAAGGAAAGCUCCACAAAAAAAAAAAGACUGUCCCCAGUGGGCCCAUACUAAGAAACUCCAAUUUAACCCAUUUGAGCACCUGUCACAUCAUAUUGUAUUUGCAGGGUUUAUGCCCCUGAGUUCAAAAGCAUGCCUUGAUUUUCACUGCAUGUUUCUUGUUUCUUGUAGACCUAUGACUCAUUAGGUAGAUGGUAAAAACAAAAUGACUGGCUGGCUGAAUUAAUAAAUGAAAUUACUAAUAAUAAACAAGAAAAGGAAGCAAAAAUAAGACCAUGGCAUAUUCAUCGUUAAUAAAAUAUUUUUUAGAUUGUCUAAUUAAAAUUUUCCAGUUUACAAAGCUCUUUAAAACCAAGACCUAACAACUAGGAGUUCCUGCUGUGGCAUGGUGGAUUAAGGAUUUGGUGUUUUUUGUUUGUUUUUCUGCAGCAGAUCAGGUCACCACUGAGGCACAGGUUAGAUCCCCACCUAGGAGCAGUGGGUUAAGGAUCUGGUGUCACUGCACCUGGGGUGUAGGUUGCAGCUGCAUCUUGGAUUCAAUCCUUGGCCUUGGGAACUUCCUUAUUCCACAGGUGUGGCAAAAAAAAAAAAAUGGCUGUGAAAACCACGAUUCAACAACUCAGCCAGGUAAGCAAGUAAAGCAUAAGUUAUGAACACCAUUUUUACAAAGAAGGCACAAAUCCUCAGAGAAGUUACAAGCCUUGCAAAUGUAAAUGAUAAAUAAUCUAGCACUAGAGUAUUUUACAAAGACUUUACUGAUUAUUUGUAACAAAAUUUUAGGUACUUAGAAAAAACCAGUUGGUUGUGGAGUAGAUGUUACACUCUUUUAAAUUGCCAAAGAAAAAUUUUAGCUUUGGGCAAUCAUAACCCAAUAAACACUCAACUUCAGCUAACAAAAGCCAAGUGCCACUGACUCUAAGAAGGGUUGGCCUAAUAAAAUAGUACAAUUAUGGGCUAAUGUGUCACUUAGCAAUUCCCUUACAGGUAGCUCAAAGGCACCAGGGACUUAUCCCAGGUAAUGAUGAAAAUAAACUGUUCCUUGUUAAAUUUCCAUCAACCAGACUGCCUGCCCAUUUCGAACACAGAAUAUAUACAGUGGAGUUCUCCAGAGCAAGUUUCCUGGACUUGAAACUCAGCUCCGCACACUCAUUUUUCGUAUUUCUUUGGCAAAUAUCUCCACAUCAAUGUAUGUGCCUCAGUUCUCAUCUGCAAAGUGAGGAUUAUAAUGACAACCAUUUCAUAGGAUGGUUGAGGAGGUUAAAUGUGUUCAUACACGUGAGGGAGGCACUGAAUACCUGAAAUGGGGCAGCUGUCCAAUAAUUUUAUCAGUCAUCCAUCCAUCCAUCCAUCCAACUAAUUUGAUGCAGGUACUGUCUCACUGAAGUUUAUCAUAAAGUAAAAGACCUCAUAAUCUGAGGGAAUUUCUCUGCAGAUGUGAUAUCCAUCAAUCCAUCUGUCUUAUCUGUAUCAUCUCUCUAUCUAAUCUAUCAUCAUUUUUGUUUGCUUUCCCACAUAAAGAAUUUUUGCUGGAGAUAAAUAAGCCACACCCACAUGCUAUGUGUCUUUUCUAUACCAAAUAUCUAAAACUGAUCCAUAACUACUUUGACUAAUGCAGUGAGCAUAUGUAUUUCUUGGUUCCCCAGCAUACUAUUAAAUUUACCUUCUUUGGUAACAAAGCAAACUUUGUGGGGGGGGGAUUGCCUUACUCGGGGUUUUUCAUAUUUCAAGUGAUCUAUUUCUAUAACUUUUUCAACAAAGCAAAGGUAUUACUUUGGCGUGGAAAAUUAAUCAGUAUUGCUCAUACUGAAAUAAUGUAAAAAACUCUUUGAAAAGAAAUUGUCAUUGACUCCCUCUCCAGCCUUGACCUCUAUUAUAUCAAUUACAAUGCUGUGUAAAUGUAUAUAAACAUAAAAUAAAGCUAGGCAUUAACUCAUUCGGCUAAAUUAACUGAAUAUAAAACUAAAAAUAGGAUGAAAUUUUGCUCUAAUAACAGUGAAAAACUGGUACUGGAACAUCACUGUUGGGUUUAAUAGCAUGUGGCAAACAGUGUGCUGAGCCACCCAGCUUGCCCUUCAAGGAAGGACAUACUGCCCAGCUGUGAGGACUGCAGGCUCCAGCUGUCACCUUCUUCAAGGUCUGUCUCAGCUGUAGUCUCCUGGUCCAAGGUCACACCUUUCCUGGAGCAGCCUGCAUCUGGCAACUGUGUGAGGUGGGGAUGUAAAGCCCCCCACUUUCUGCUUGAUGGGGAGAGCUCUGACAAGCAAUGCUCACCCAGAGUUCCCUGCCAGGCUGGCCAAGGUACUACGGAUCAGCAUCAAAGUUCAACUCUUCCUUCUACCUAGUCCUGUUCCCUCGUCCUUUCUUCUCUAGACACUGAUCUCAAAUAAACAUCUUAACAUCCCACACUCUCUGCUUCCAGAGAAUUUGAACAACACAGAAUUUUCUACAGCACAGUAAAAAGAAAAGAGCCUGGGCUUCUGUAUUUUUAGUUUGGUACUAAAUGGACAUUUAAUGAACAGCACAAAACUGUGUUAAGAGCCUCAGUCUGCAUUUGCUCAUCUUCAGCUGGGGCAUGAGGAAGGACAACAUGCGACUUAAGAACACAAUUCAUUUUUACUUUUUUUCCACUGUUCAAUAAGCUACACAGCUAAACCUCGUAAUUAAAAGCUCCAGCAGCUCGUCUUCCCAUUAUACAGAACAGAAAAUCUUUAAUGAAAUAUCAGACAAAAGAAGACACAAGGAAACUGAAAACUCUGCAAAGCAUAAACAUUUGCUGGGUGAAAACACUGCACGAAACAGGCAGUUAUUUUAAUGAGGCAUUGUACCAAUUAUUUCAUAAAACAUUGCACACAACAUGGAUGAUAAUUCCAAAACACACCACACAGGAUAAUUAUUUAAGGCUGCUCAAUAAAUGUUUACUUCAAACUGGCAAUUAUUUCUUUAACAACGAUGAGACAUUCAGGAGUUUGCAAAACCUGGCAUAAAUAAAUAGGCUGGAAGAAAGCCUAUGUAUGUACCAGAGUGGAAGUUUCAAAGGCUUUAGGAGGGUAAACACAAAUGAAAAUUCUUUUCUUGCUAAACAAGCCAUUUCUCCUGUAUUCAUUCAUCUCUUCAAUUUACUCAUUCAUCAAAUACUUAUGUGUCACCUACUUUAUAUCUUGAGCUGCGGGGAUAAAAAAGAAACCCUGUCCUCAAGGAGGAGCUUACAACCUACAAGACAGAGCCCAAUCCACACAAAGAACUCAAUAUGAUUGACAUGUGCUACAAGGAAGGUAUGAAUAGGGGUGCCCUUGUGUCUCUCCCCAACUCACCCCCACCUCACUUCCCUUUUCUCUGGCCACUCCAGUCUGAUUUAUUUUUCUCAACUCUCCAAAAAUGUCCAUAUGACUAUUGAGAACUUGAAUGUUGGUUACUCUAAAGUGAAAUGUGUUGUGUGAAAUAAGCACAAGAUUUUGAAGACUGUACAGAAGAAAAAUGUAAAAUGGACCAUUAGUAACUUGUUAAUAUAGUUAUGUGAUGAAAUAAUAUUUUAGAAAAAUUGGGUUCUAGAAAAGAUAUUAUUAAAAUUAAUUUUAUCUGUUUCUUUUUAAAUUUAUUUGUUUUCUUUUUUUAUGGCUGCAACCUGCAGCAUUUGGAAGUUUCUGGGCUAGGGGUUGAAUCAGAGCUGUGGCUGCGGCUGCAGGCCUAUACCACAGCCACAGCAAUGCCAGAUCCGAGUCUCAUCUACAACCUACACAGCAACUAGUGGCAAUGUGAGAUCUCUAACCCACUAAGUGAGCCCAGGGAUGGAACCCUCAUCCUCCUGAGCACUAAAUCAGGGUUCUUAACCCACUGAGCCACAAUGGAAACUCCUGUUUCUUUUUUUAAGUGUGGAAAAGUUAAAAUUACUUACAUGGCUCACACUCUAGGAUGACACCUCUGGUCUGGAACACUGACCUGUUCUUGCUUUCUUUGCGGUAUUCUGGUAUCAGCUUAUUUUCUUGACUUCAAAGAGGUUCUGGCUGACCACCAUUCUAAAGAAGACACACCACUCUCACCCACUCAGUCACUCUCACAUUCUCCAUCUUGUCUUUUUUUUUUUAUUAUAGUAAAAAAUAUAUAUAACAUGAAAUUAUCCCUGCUAACAAAGUUUUAAGCAUACAUACCAUAAUGUUGUUGCUAUGUGCACAUUAUUGUAUAGUAAAUCUCCAGAACUACUUUUUUUAUCUAGUAUGACUAAAACUCUAUAUCCAUUCAACAACUCCCCAUUUCUCCCUACCCCUAAACCUUGGCAACUAACAUUCUACUCUUUGUUUCUACGAGUUUGACUUUUUCCUAGGUGGCAUCACACUGUAUUUGCCUUUCUAUGACUGGCUUAUUUCACUUGGCAUAAUCUCCUCAAGGCUCAUCCAUGUGGGGGCAUAUGACAAUAUUUCCUUCAUUUUUAAAGCUGAAUGAUAUUCCAUUGUAUGUAUAUACCACAUUUUCUUUAUUCAUUCAUUUGUCAAUAGAAUUUAGGUUAUUUCCAUCUCUUGACUAUUGUAACACUGCAGUGAACAAACAGCUACUUCAGAAAACAGUAUGGAGUGUCUUCAACAAAUUAAAACUAGAGCUACGAUGUGUCCAUCCAUCCUACUUCCAGGUAUUUACACAAAAGAAUUGAAAUUGGGAUCUUGAGGAAACCCUGUGUCCAAAUAAUUUUCUCUUUAGCACUCAUUACUAUCUGAAAUUACCUUAUUGUCUUUUUUCUUUACUUUGUAUCAUCCCUCUCAGAAUAUAAGCCCCAUGAGAGCAGAGAACUAAUACACCACAUUCACUAUUGAAUCUACAGCUAUAACAAAAUACCCACCACUUAGUAAAUGUUCAAUACAUAAUUAUUGAACAGGUAAAUGAAGAUUCAGUGCACACCUAGGUAAAGGAGCAUCCAAGUCUGUCUGGGAAGACAAAGGAGGGAGUCCUCGAGAUUGAGGGUAUUUGGCUAGGUUCUCUAGGAAGAGGGAUCCCAACUGUCUUCCUCUCCAGUCAACCACCUUUUUAUCCAUCUUUCCACCACUAAUCCAUCUACUUAAAUGGAUCUUUAGUACUUCUGUGUCUCAGCCACUGUGCUAGUUUCAGAGAAAUACAAUAAGGAAUAGGAUUAAACAGGGCCCUGCCACUAAGUAGCUUAUGAUCUAGAAGACCAACUAGUGUGAAUAGUUUUUUAACUAUAUAAACAAUUACUUAACUAUAGUUCUGAUGAGUUCUAGGGAGGGCCAUGUGUCCAGGGCAACAGAAAAGGUUUACACGGGUGAGCAAUAUUUAUACUAAGACCCAGAGGGUACAAAGGAGUCAGCCUGAGCAUAGUCCUAGAGAGAAAAGGCAGGAAGAGAAGUUCAGAGAAAUCUAUUUUAUUCAGUUCUGUUGGGGCAUAAAAUAUGCCUGUGGGACAGAGUGGCCAGUAUGAAUGUAGGUAAUUUUACAGAAAGCAUAUAUAUCAGCUAAAAAAAAUAUACAUUGAUGUAGAAUAAAUAAUUCAACAAUGGUUCUAAGCUUCGAAGGCAAUGCCACAUAACUUCUUAAAUGGAAUCUUAAUCAACUCUUAAAUCUGAUUAAAUAAUCAAAAUUUGUUUUUAGAAAAUUUGAAAAAAUAGCAAUGAAAGAAACUUAAU
RNAcentral lists this long non-coding RNA (6371 nucleotides) under Sus scrofa (pig). Its description in RNAcentral is "lncRNA (ENSSSCG00015062444.1)". Lineage: Eukaryota; Metazoa; Chordata; Mammalia; Artiodactyla; Suidae. The record is from RNAcentral.